GGAACUUUAAAACCACACUUUGUCCCAUGCGGGGUGGAAAAAGAAGCUCCUAAACACAAAUUAUUCAAACUAACUAUUGCUUCCAGGGUCAUUGUGUUCAAAAUACAAACCCCAAGCCAUCACUGUGUUAGAUUUCCCAACUCAAUUCAGCAGGUGUUGCUGUUGGCUCUUGACAAGUUGUAACACAGCACAAAAUUUAAAACCAUUGUCAAAUUAUGUGAAAAAGAAGCCACUGUGUAAUAUGUUCGUCCUUUACG
RNAcentral lists this long non-coding RNA (257 nucleotides) under Medicago truncatula (barrel medic). RNAcentral's name for it is "lncRNA gene49931". The record is from RNAcentral. Lineage: Eukaryota; Viridiplantae; Streptophyta; Magnoliopsida; Fabales; Fabaceae.